AUAAUGGGUCAGCGACUUAUAUUCUGUAGCAAGGUUAACCGAAUAGGGGAGCCGAAGGGAAACCGAGUCUUAACUGGGCGUUAAGUUGCAGGGUAUAGACCCGAAACCCGGUGAUCUAGCCAUGGGCAGGUUGAAGGUUGGGUAACACUAACUGGAGGACCGAACCGACUAAUGUUGAAAAAUUAGCGGAUGACUUGUGGCUGGGGGUGAAAGGCCAAUCAAACCGGGAGAUAGCUGGUUCUCCCCGAAAGCUAUUUAGGUAGCGCCUCGUGAAUUCAUCUCCGGGGGUAGAGCACUGUUUCGGCAAGGGGGUCAUCCCGACUUACCAACCCGAUGCAAACUGCGAAUACCGGAGAAUGUUAUCACGGGAGACACACGGCGGGUGCUAACGUCCGUCGUGAAGAGGGAAACAACCCAGACCGCCAGCUAAGGUCCCAAAGUCAUGGUUAAGUGGGAAACGAUGUGGGAAGGCCCAGACAGCCAGGAUGUUGGCUUAGAAGCAGCCAUCAUUUAAAGAAAGCGUAAUAGCUCACUGGUCGAGUCGGCCUGCGCGGAAGAUGUAACGGGGCUAAACCAUGCACCGAAGCUGCGGCAG
This 595-nucleotide ribosomal RNA is filed under the name Escherichia coli. Its description in RNAcentral is "partial 23S ribosomal RNA". It matches the Rfam family "Bacterial large subunit ribosomal RNA", at positions 612 to 1208 of the family's 2925-position model. The record is from RNAcentral. Lineage: Bacteria; Pseudomonadati; Pseudomonadota; Gammaproteobacteria; Enterobacterales; Enterobacteriaceae.